This 206-nucleotide long non-coding RNA is filed under the name Panax ginseng (ginseng). RNAcentral describes it as "long non-coding RNA (PGIN_LNC013379)". Lineage: Eukaryota; Viridiplantae; Streptophyta; Magnoliopsida; Apiales; Araliaceae. The record is from RNAcentral.
CCAGUUUGAUUAAAUAUGCAGAGUAUUGAUAAAUAGAGGGCUAAAGGGAACAAAGUUCUGAGCUUUAUCGAUAUACUUGUUAUAUGGAGAAGCUCCUUAGUUGAGUUGUUACCUUCAAUUCAGACGGGGUUUAAGCUUUGGUACCCGAAGAAGAAGCUCUAGCGCUCCAACGGUUGAUUUUCUUCGGUAAUGGCUGCUUCAAAGAG